UUAAAUAAAUCUAAUUAUUAGAAUUUAAUUUCGACUUAAAAAAUAUGAUUAUUUUAUUAAUCUAUUUAAU
RNAcentral lists this transfer RNA (70 nucleotides) under Paramblynotus sp. ZJUH 20220012. RNAcentral's name for it is "tRNA-Arg". The record is from RNAcentral. Lineage: Eukaryota; Metazoa; Arthropoda; Insecta; Hymenoptera; Liopteridae.